Molecule: RNase P RNA, 329 nt
Filed under: Flavobacteriaceae bacterium
Lineage: Bacteria; Pseudomonadati; Bacteroidota; Flavobacteriia; Flavobacteriales; Flavobacteriaceae
Description: RNase P RNA component class A
Rfam family: Bacterial RNase P class A
About the family: Ribonuclease P (RNase P) is a ubiquitous endoribonuclease, found in archaea, bacteria and eukarya as well as chloroplasts and mitochondria. Its best characterised activity is the generation of mature 5'-ends of tRNAs by cleaving the 5'-leader elements of precursor-tRNAs.
Source: RNAcentral
CGAGAAAAUCGGCUUGUUGCUCCGAAUUUUUUUUCGGGGAGGAAAGUCCGGACACCAAAGAGCAGCAAAUCGGAUAACAUCCGCCGUUCGCGAGAACAGGACCAGUGCAACAGAAAGCAAGUACAGUUCGGCUGUAGUGAAAUCGGGUAAACUCUUUGCGGUGCAAUGAUAAGUAUAUCGGUGUUUUUCAGAAAUGAAAAUAGGAGUUGCUCGCUCCGAAAACCGAGGGGUAAUCAGCUAAAGUUUUGCAGCAAUGUAAAACGCAGAUAAAUAACAAGCUUCUCAUUUUUAAUGGGAAACAGAAUCCGGCUUACAGAUUUUCUCGUGGA